RNAcentral lists this ribosomal RNA (256 nucleotides) under uncultured bacterium. RNAcentral describes it as "partial 16S ribosomal RNA". It matches the Rfam family "Bacterial small subunit ribosomal RNA", at positions 57 to 305 of the family's 1533-position model. The record is from RNAcentral.
GCAAGUCGAACGAGGUCCAUUCGGUGGCAACACCGAGGACGACCUAGUGGCGAACGGGUGCGUAACACGUGAGAAACCUGCCCCGAAGUCCGGGAUAACCAGAGGAAACCCUGGCUAAUACCGGAUGCCUUCACCGGAUCGCAUGGUCUGGUGAAGAAAUGGAUGCCGCUUCGGGAGGGUCUCGCGGCCUAUCAGCUAGUUGGUGAGGUAACGGCCCACCAAGGCAUCGACGGGUAGCUGGUUUGAGAGGAUGACC